Molecule: ribosomal RNA, 257 nt
Filed under: uncultured bacterium
Lineage: Bacteria
Description: partial 16S ribosomal RNA
Rfam family: Bacterial small subunit ribosomal RNA
Source: RNAcentral
UCGCAAGCUCGCGAGAGUAAGCUAAUCUCUUAAAGCCGUUCUCAGUUCGGACUGUAGGCUGCAACUCGCCUACACGAAGUCGGAAUCGCUAGUAAUCGCGGAUCAGCAUGCCGCGGUGAAUACGUUCCCGGGCCUUGUACACACCGCCCGUCACACCAUGGGAGUUUGUAACGCCCAAAGUCGGUGACCCAACCUGAGAAGGAGGGAGCCGUCGAAGGCGGGGUCUGAUGACUGGGGUGAAGUCGUAACAAGGUAUC